RNAcentral lists this ribosomal RNA (468 nucleotides) under uncultured bacterium. RNAcentral's name for it is "partial 16S ribosomal RNA". It matches the Rfam family "Bacterial small subunit ribosomal RNA", at positions 28 to 507 of the family's 1533-position model. The record is from RNAcentral.
GACGACCGCUGGCGGCGUGCUUAACACAUGCAAGUCGAACGGAAAGGCCCUGCUUUUGUGGGGUGCUCGAGUGGCGAACGGGUGAGUAACACGUGAGUAACCUGCCCUUGACUUUGGGAUAACUUCAGGAAACUGGGGCUAAUACCGGAUAGGAGCUCCUGCUGCAUGGUGGGGGUUGGAAAGUUUCGGCGGUUGGGGAUGGACUCGCGGCUUAUCAGCUUGUUGGUGGGGUAGUGGCUUACCAAGGCUUUGACGGGUAGCCGGCCUGAGAGGGUGACCGGACACAUUGGGACUGAGAUACGGCCCAGACUCCUACGGGAGGCAGCAGUGGGGAAUAUUGCACAAUGGGCGGAAGCCUGAUGCAGCAACGCCGCGUGCGGGAUGACGGCCUUCGGGUUGUAAACCGCUUUCGCCUGUGACGAAGCGUGAGUGACGGUAAUGGGUAAAGAAGCACCGGCUAACUACGUG